RNAcentral lists this transfer RNA (65 nucleotides) under Abracris sp. OR222. RNAcentral's name for it is "tRNA-Pro". The record is from RNAcentral. Lineage: Eukaryota; Metazoa; Arthropoda; Insecta; Orthoptera; Acrididae.
CAGGGUUAGUUUUAUAAAAAUAUCGGUUUUGGGGACCGAGGAUAGGAAUUCUUUCCUACGCCUGA